UCGUGUAUACAGUCCCCAUAAUUUUUUCACAAGAUUGAGUGGUGCAUAGAAAGCUUAUGCACAUGUCCCUAUUAUACACCACAAUACAUAUCAUUUAUGGGAGCCCAAUUCAUACUUUUCUUAUGCGGUUGAGGUUAAUUUAAAACCUAAUCUACCCCUACCUUCCCUUUGUUUUUCCCUCAUCCCACCCCACCGUCGGCUCCUCCCCUCUCCAUCGAUGGCUCCUCACCCCACCCUAUCACCUUCCUCCACUUGGCUGAGCUCUAUUUCGCUGUCUCCAGCCUCCUCCCUCUUUCCCACAUUUCAUGAUGGAAGAUCUUUCCAUUUGCGUUCUUUUCUUCCUCAUCUCCACACCAAAUCUUUUCUUCUAUCUCUCUACACCACCACCACAACACUUCCAUAGUCCGCGAUGCUCAGGAAGAUCUGGAGUUCCUUAUAUCUCCUUCCUCUCUAAAGGUACAUUCUCACUAUUUUCUUCUCUGAUCUAAGUUUCUCUCCUUUUCUAAAAUAUAUCACUUAUUAUUUUUUUUUGAAUUUUUUCUCCUUAUUUUUCUUCUCCAUUGGGUCUUCUACCAUUUCCUAUUUCUUUCUUUUUUUUUUUUGCAUUCCUCUCUUUCCCGAUCCAUCCCUCUCUACCUCUCUUCUCCCUCGCUCCAUCCCGCUGCUAAUUUCUCAUCCCACCCCACUGCUAGUUCCUCUUUCUCCCUCCCUCUCUAUUUUUCUUUUUCUUUUUUAAUUUUUUUCAUCUUCUUCCUCCUCACACUCUAUUCCACAACCCUAACUCUGUCCAGAAACCCUAACUUUAAUCCAUAACUUAAUCCUAACCUUAAUCAACCUCUGAAUGUAAUUUUCAAACUUAAUCGAAACCCUAACCUAAAUAACCUAAACUUUAAUACAAACAUUUACUCUAACAACCCAAACCCUAAGUCAAUUUUCAAUGUCAAUAAUCUAAACCCCAACCUAACCCAAACACAAACCCUAAUCCUAACCCUAACCCAAACCCAAACCCAAACCUUAACCUAAAUUUGGAAUCUAUUUCUAAUCCAAACCUCACCCAAACAAAACCUGAACUCAAACCCUAACCUAAAUCUCAAUCCAAUCUAACCCAAACCCAAUCCAAAUUGGAACCCUAACCUAAAUCUGAAUCUUAUUUCUAAUUGAUGAAAGAGCAAUCAGAAAAAUCACUCAAAAGAAGUUAGUCAAUCACUUCAUUAAAAAUGGCACGUUUCAUGAUGCCAAUUCAAAGGCAGCAAUAAGAAUACAACAUUUUUGAGUUAUUAAAGCAUAUUAUUUCAUGAAAUCACAUUCAUAAUAGUAGAUGCUAUGUCAAGAUCCAGAUAGCAUAUAAAUAAGAAUUAUCACUAUACUCAUUCUCCAUUUAUGGAAUAUUAAAUUUAUAUGAUUAGUAAAUAAUUAUAAAAUUACAUAAAACUAAGAGAUUUAAGACUUUUAUGGUUAUAGAUAGAUAAAGAAAAGAAGAGAAAAGAGAGCUAUGGCUCACCUAGGGUUGUGGAAGGGGCCGACUUUGUUGGCGCAGAGAGGGAUUGGAUCGUCAGAUUUGUAGCAAUGAUAGGAGAUAUCUAAUAUAACUCCAGCCAUCUUGAAACACAGUAGCAAUGCCGCAACAUCCACCGCAGCCAUGGCCUUCUAUCCUAUCUAUGUUUCUUUCCCUAAAAUAUCUUGACGUAAAAUCGAUGGGAGGAGGGUUAUACAGAAAUAGCAGUAUAAAAAUUAACAUAUUAAAUCAAAAUUAUGUUCUCAAAGCAAUCUUACUUAGAUGUUCAUGGAAAAUAUGAUGCCGGAAUAAAUAUUAAAAAGAUCAUAUAUCGUACGUCCUCUUACUCUUCUAUGUUCAUGUAGCUUGUCCUAAAAAAAUUGCCACUGCUUGAGGAGAAAGCGCCCGAUUGAGACUGAGAAAAAUAAAAAUAAAAAAAAAGAAUAUGUGGAAAAAUUAAAAGGCAAGAUUUUUUUUCGGAUAGAUUGAUCAUUUUUUUUUUUUUUGAAAUUUUAAACUCUCCUAUACAAUUAAAAAUAUAUACCCCGUUCACUCUAUCAAUCAUGCUUCCAGCGAAAAUACCACCCGCCGGCCAUCCCUGUCAGGUAGCCCCUACAUCGUUAACAUGAUAACAAAGCUCAAUUAGUUGAAAAUUUUGUAGCCAAAGAAUACGCUUUUGGAGCAAAAAUUGUUAAACCCUACAAAAUAUCAUGCUUAAGCUCUCAAAACCUCAAGGACCAACUCACACCGCCACAGCUCGCACCAAGUCCCACAUACUUAACGGAAAAAAAAAAAAAAAAAAACAACCGGAACCUAACAAACCCCAAGCUCUCAAGUGCUCUCCUUUCCCACCUACUAAUUAUGCAAGAACAUAAAUAUGAUAAAAAGAAGGCAAUUUCAAAAGAAGCACCAGUCACAAUAACUUUGUUUCUGGACGGCACCAAAAACUCAAACUGCUGCCAGUACCUCUCUAUUUAAUGCAAUACCCAAUAACCUAUUCUCUCUGACAGGACAACAUAAUUCAAGAAAGAAAUCCACAAUAGGUUUCAGCCAAUCAAGGGAAAAAUCAAGAAACCCACAUUAAGAAAAAAAGGUUCUGAAACUUAUUUAGGAAAAAAAAUCUGGAAAGAACAGGUAAAGAGAAGAUGGAUCGCACCAAGAACUCAAAUCGCUAUCGGUCAUCUCUAUCGCGUCCAAUGCCCAUUUACAUUCGCUCUGGUAGAGCACUCAGGUCAAGAAAACAGCACAUGAUAAGUCUCAACUAAUCCCAACAGAAUUUUUUUCAGAAGAAAUAAUAUAAAGAUUGGAUCUUUUUUUAAAACGUGUUUAGUGAAAGGAAUACAGAAAAGAAUGGAAAAAAAUGAGAUGGAAAUCNNNNNNNNNNNNNNNNNNNNNNNNNNNNNNNNNNNNNNNNNNNNNNNNNNNNNNNNNNNNNNNNNNNNNNNNNNNNNNNNNNNNNNNNNNNNNNNNNNNNNNNNNNNNNNNNNNNNNNNNNNNNNNNNNNNNNNNNNNNNNNNNNNNNNNNNNNNNNNNNNNNNNNNNNNNNNNNNNNNNNNNNNNNNUGGAAAUCGCUAGGUCAUGCCGGUUAACCAAUGCUACCUAACAAACCGAUUCAAAUCAAGAGAACAAACCAAAGAUAGUUUGAAUUAAACCCAAAAGAUAUUAAAAAAAAUAAAGAAAGAUUGGUUUUUCAACUAAUUUGGUGAAAAAGAACAAAUAAAAUAAUAUGAACACUAGUUUAGAACCCUUGCAUUAAAUAAUAUUUUUAUAAAUUAAAAAUUUAAUAUAAUAUAAAAAAUAUAAUAGAUGAUAUCAAAUAGUUUAGAGGUUAUAACCCGUAAAGGUUAUAACCCUUACAGGUUAUAACCCCAUGUGAUACAUGGGAUGUAAUUUUAAUAAAAUAAAAUAAUUAUUUUAAAUUUAUUAUUUUUUAUUAUUUUUAUUUUUAAUUAUUUUAAUUUUUUUUUCUUCUUCUUUUCUUUCUUUCUCGAUUCUCUUCUUUAAAGAAAGAUACAUUUUAAUUUUUUUUAUUUAAAAUAAAAUAAAUUGAAUAAAAAUCUGAUCAAUUAUUGUAUUUGAAUCCAUCUGAAUAUGAAUAACAUUUAAAUCUGUAUCUAGUAUCUAUAUCCAUAUUAUUAUAAUUAUUUAUUUAUUAUAAUUAUAAUAAAUAAUUAUUUAUUAUAAUUAUUUAUUAUAAUUAUCUAAAGAAUAGGAAAGAAUAGAAUCAGAUUAAAAUUUAUCAUAAAAAUAUUGUAAUCGACGUGGGUAAGAGAUAUGAUAUUAAAAUAUCUAAUCUAUAAUUUUUUUUAAUAAUUUAAAAUAUAUAUUUAUUUUUUAUCAAUAAAUUUUAAGUAUCAAAUAUGAAAUAAAUCUAAUAAAUUUUUUAACCUAUGCAAUCUCAAUAGAAUUGAACCUCCAAAUUUUUUCUUAAGAUGCAAGUUCGGGAUUGCGAACUUCUAAUGUUAUUUCAUUGUAUAUUUCACCUUUCACCCAAAGGAAUGAUGCAUUUUGAUCAUUCAUGAUAUCAACUGUUGGAUUAUGCAAUAAUUACUUUAAGAUUUAUAUGGAUGGAUAAAAAAAUAUUUGAAUGUUUUGAGAGCUGCAUAAGACUUGAUCCAUAAUUCAUGUGAAAUCUGCUCAUGCAGGCAGCCCUUUUAAAUCUCCAUGGGCUCACGGGACCAAGACCCAAUUUGGUGAGAAUCAAUUUCAGAUUCCUAAUUGGCCACCUUCCAAUUAAAUUUAACUGUUGGAUCCGGGUUAGGUAAUAAACCAACCAUCAUCUUCAGCCAACCAAUUUCCCUAUCUCAUGCACAAUACGU
RNAcentral lists this long non-coding RNA (4314 nucleotides) under Elaeis guineensis (African oil palm). RNAcentral describes it as "long non-coding RNA (EGUI_LNC011463)". Lineage: Eukaryota; Viridiplantae; Streptophyta; Magnoliopsida; Arecales; Arecaceae. The record is from RNAcentral.